Long non-coding RNA from Paramormyrops kingsleyae, 4026 nucleotides. RefSeq lists it as uncharacterized. The record is from RefSeq and is a predicted model, not a curated record. Lineage: Eukaryota; Metazoa; Chordata; Actinopteri; Osteoglossiformes; Mormyridae.
ACCAAGAGAGGUCCUGAGCAGAAAGUUUUCCUUGGAUGUAAUAUGGGUAGUUUGACAGUCGCAGCACCACAUUCCUUCUAGAACAUUCCGGGAUGCCCCCUUGGCUUUUGUCCACAGCGUAUCUUGACCGCCACAUCUUCUCGUGGUGUUACGGCUGUAAGUGAGAACUUUUAACCUGCCUCUUGCUAAAAAAAAAAAGUGAAAAAAAAUUGAGACAGUAGUUAAGCGGAUACUUUCGUUUUUGUGAAUCGGAACUUAAUUUCCCGGCUCUGUCUUUUUCCUUCGCUGUUUCUCCGCUCGACUACCCAGGUUUCACCCGGGCAAACCCAGAUCUGCGCCGGAGUGUUCCGUCACGAGAUGGUAAAACCGUUUUUUAGCUGUUCGCUUUUACGCCCGUGAGCUUAUAGGCGCUGCUGGUCAUGGACUCUCUUCUGAUGUUCAGCCAUACAUGAAGAAAGGGGCCGUCUCCCUCCUAAUGUAUUCCUCUGCCGAUAUUGUAUCGGAAAAAGAGAUGGAGGGCGGAUGAAAAAGAGAAUGUAAAUAAGAGCCUUUGGAGGCCGCCUGCUGCUGUAGCUUGCUUAUUGGAAGUCACGUGACACACCGCAAUGCCCAGCGGGGCCUUUCAACCAGCAAUCUGUGAAAAAUCCUAUUGGAACCAUUGUGCUUGGGCUCUGUACCAUAACCUGCAGCCCUGGAACAAUGCUGGACAGGAAGCCAUCUCUCCCGGCUCCGCGGAUCUAAUGUAAAUGGGGAAUCUUCCGGCCGAAAAUGCGGAGGAGCCCGGCCGGUUUCGUCUCUCUGCUUUCUUUCUUGCCUUCCUCCCUUUUUCCCUCUUUCCCCCCUCAAGCUCCGGCUUUUCGGACGGACAUUAUUUUCGCUGGUAAAUCGGAAGGCUUUUUCCCCGACUCUCCUGUGCGUUCAGCGGCAGGAUGGGACACAACGGCCGAGAUCUUUCCCGAUUUUGGGGGUUUUCUCCCCUCCUUUGUAUCGGCUAAUGGGAGUCACUCCUUUAGCAGAGACUGUGCAUGUGGUUAAUUGGGGAUGCGACUGUCCACUUCCUGGAACAGACGUCAGUGCUAAAGUGUUUCUUAAUAAUAUACAGCAGGAGUUGGGAAGAAGGAGAGAUUGUUCCGUUCGGAGUGAAGAAGCCGGUUGUUUUCGUCUUCGCAGGGCUGACGUUCCUGUGAGGAAGAGUCCGUCUACCCAGGGUUGUUUUUCUUCCUUUUAUUUGGGCUCUGACCGGGAUCCGGUUUCACCUCUUGAUACUGCACCUGUUUAAACACACAGACACCCCAGUCACGCUCAGGUGGAGGGAAGCCAGAGGAAUCCUGGGACAGUUUGGGAAUCUUCUGCUGUUCUCUCCAGCUGGGAUGAGGAAGCGCAGCUGAAAGGGACUCUGGACAAACAAACAGGAGCAUGAGAACGAGAGGAGUCCCGUUGAAGGGUCUUCCGGGAGCCACCCAGGCGACCCCUGGGGGUUUCUCCCGAAAGCCGGGUCACGACAAGGCCACUUGGUUCUGUGUUCCCGCUCCCUAAGAAAAAAUCCACAGUUGUUUGGAGAGAAGGUUCCAUUAUAAUAGCCGCUAUGACGGGCCUUUAGAGUCGCUUAGCUGUUACCUAGGCUAUGCUGGAUUGAGCUUUAAUGCAGAAAUAACCAUCAGUCCUUGACAGAUGCCCACCUGGCUUGCUGUGACGUUUCCAUGCCAUAUUCAAAUAUAAUGCAGUAACGACUCAAAUAAUCACACAGGCAUCUUCAGACGCUGAUCCCUGCUUUAUUACGGCCGUAUGUCAUUCCAUGUCUGUCGUUUGGCAUUGCAACAAUAGACAUGAAUUCCAACAGUAACUUCGGUUGAAGAACAAUGACAAGUACAAAGUUUGUUUUCAUAAUUUCUGUCAUCUGCACUUCCAGGUUUCAAUUACUUGUUUCUGGUUUUCUGAAGGCAUCUGCAGUAGUAUUGCAGGAGGCCCUGAACUAAGUCACCUUCCCAUUCAUACGCAUCAUGGCCAGUGGACAGAGGUGUGGUAUAGCUGGUCCCAAUUCAGUAUAAAAAGCCAGAUCUAGUCAUGAAAAAAUUCCAUGCAGGAAACCCACCCAAAAAAACUCUGAUUUCGAUAACACAAGUUUGCAGGAGCGACUUGGUUGAUGAAGCCGGACUCUGACCAUUAGGCCCCCUGGUCAAAACUUCCCAAACCCAUUUGAGCAGAAGAACUUCACAGAUACCAAUAAUGAUCUGUUCUGUACUGAGCACAUUAAAUGUCCAGAUGAUGGAAGUCACAAGAACGGGCAGGAGCAAAUAACAUCAAGAAGUCCAGUAAGAACUGGAAUAAGCACUGGGCUGCAGAGGAAAUGGCGAAGGUGUCACUUUACCUGGAAUGAACUAUCCUCAAUCAUCACUAGUUUCUUUGGGAUCUGUUUUUUUCACCAGCUGAAACUGGAAAUAUAUGGAAGAAAACAACUGGAAAUGAUAAAGUAACUGGACCCUGCACUUCAGCAGAUCUCUUGUGUAUUACACAUAUUUCUUUCCACUACGUUACAGUCAUCAAUGGUGCUAACAGUACUUUUUUUUUCUGGAAGAGUCCCCCCUCACCUCCUUUCCAGCAGCACCUCAGACAAACGUGUUAGUUUGUUAGUGAAAAAGCAACCACUGAACACCGUUGAUAGGAAGAAGAUGGAACAGGCACGCUCUUUUUAGUUCUUUUACCAGGAUGAGAAGUUAUCGCAGUUCUGCAGAAGUAACGAGCGCGCCCUUAAGGAGUAGCCGAUCGAAACCGUGGGUGACAGUGCUGUUUUGUUUUUUUUUUUUUGGACUUUAUAGCCCUGCCAACUAAAAUAGACACCGGAGCGAGAAGACAGGAGACGUGUUAUGCGGCUCCAUCUGUGCACACAAACCGGGCUCACAGAUGUUCAGCUCCUCUGUGGCCCCUGGUACGUGGGACAAUAGGAGGACUUACGCAAUCGCGUAGCAGGGUCAACCUGCGGAUCCUCAGUCAAGAGGCCCAUAAGGAUGAUGUCGUUUCUUUAGCUGCAAAUUAAAGUCUGAUUAGAGAAUACCGUAGUAAGCAACGAAUACGGACGCGGGCAUUUUGUCACUCGGAAUCUGCAGAAUGCUGAUACAUAGCAGGAUAAUAAGAUGGAGAUUCCAUGGCAUGUCAUUUCGCUCUUAUUGUGUGUAGGAAUGACCAAGGCAUGGGAUUCUGAGCUAAUGAGGAAUACAACUCCGAUUCCUCUAACGAACUCCAAAAAAACGGAGAAGCAAGGGAUCCGCCUGAAUUUCUGCGCUCUCCGCAUUUCAGGUUCCGCACGGUCGGUAAGGAAAAGCGCUGACGUGCCUUAAUUAGGCGGGAAAGCCGCGUUUGCCGUGGAUGGUCGGCCAGGCAGGUGCGACUCCAGUCGGCUAGAAGCGCCGCUUUCUCACGCUGUCAGAUGGGCUAAUUGACUUUCCAAGACAAGCCAUUCUGGCUGCUGCUAGCUUCUGUCGGCAUUUGUGUGAUUUUUUAGGAAAAUUUGUUCCUCUAUUGGUGAUUCUCUUUUUUUUACCAUUUUGGGUGGCAUAUUUGCAGGUGUAUUUUUGACAGAAUGAAUAAACUAAACCACAACACUGAAAACCUAACAAUGAAUAUCAUAUAUAACGUUACUACCAAAAUAUGUCCCAUUUUGAGGAAAAGUUCUAGUUGAAGACUUAAAAACAUUCCUGGUGUUACUGGAACCUCAGAUGACAAGUUCCUUAUACCUAAAGAGAACAAUAUUCAGCUAAUCUACAAUGGAAACCAAGAGAUUAAAGAUCUUUCUCCAAGGCUGCUGCACUCCCGCUUUAUCAUGGCAUGACAUCGUCAGCGUUUGAAGGUUUCAAGUACCCUGCCUUGUGAGAUGCUUCAGUAUAAUAGUAUUGGUUAAUGUUCCAGGUGUAGUAAAGCAUGUAUCUCUCAUUCUUCGAUGAGAACAUGGUUAAAAAUGGACUGCAUGUUCUCUGUAGUGAGUGAAUGAGACCAUGCAGAUACCAUAAUAAAAAAAUGGAAACUGUAAAA